RNAcentral lists this ribosomal RNA (468 nucleotides) under uncultured bacterium. RNAcentral describes it as "partial 16S ribosomal RNA". It matches the Rfam family "Bacterial small subunit ribosomal RNA", at positions 28 to 507 of the family's 1533-position model. The record is from RNAcentral.
GACGAACGCUGGCGGCGUGCUUAACACAUGCAAGUCGAACGGCAAGGCCCUGCUUUCGUGGGGUGCUCGAGUGGCGAACGGGUGAGUAACACGUGAGUAACCUGCCCUUGACUUUGGUAUAACUUCAGGAAACUGGGGCUAAUACCGGAUAGGAGCUCCUGCUGCAUGGUGGGGGUUGGAUAGUUUCGGCGGUUGGGGAUGGAUUCGCGGCUUACCAGCUUGCUGGUGGGGUAGUGGCUUACCAAGGCUUUGACGGGUAGCCGGCCUGAGAGGGUGAACGGCGACAUGGGGACUGAGAUAGGCACCAGACUCCAACGGGAGGCAGCAGGGGGAAGUAUGGCACAGUGAGCGGGAGCGUGAUGAGGAAGCGCCGGGGGCGGGAUGACGGCCUUCGGGUUAUAAACAGCUUUAGCCUAUGACGAAGCGGGAGUGACGGUAAUGAGUAAAGAAGCACCGGCUAACUACGUG